RNAcentral lists this long non-coding RNA (398 nucleotides) under Gossypium raimondii (Peruvian cotton). RNAcentral describes it as "long non-coding RNA (GRAI_LNC009236)". The record is from RNAcentral. Lineage: Eukaryota; Viridiplantae; Streptophyta; Magnoliopsida; Malvales; Malvaceae.
AAAAAUGUCAAAAAGGGUAGAAAGGCCGAAAUUGGGAAUAUAAAAUCAAAAUUUUUAGAAGAAGAGAUCAGGUUUGGCACAACUCUGAUCACUUCCCUUAAUCCUCUCCUCAAAAUCCUCACUACUAACCCACCACAAACCGAGCACUGUCCCACUACACCUUAAAAUACCUUACUUUCCUCCACCAAUCCCACAACUAUCGAAAUCAUCCUCAUUAUCCCCCUAAAAAUCAGGCACAACAUCCUCACACUCCUAAAAUAUUCAUAAUUUUGGUCAAACUACAACACUCAUACAUUACAAGUAAUAAAAAAAUCCCCUUGAUCGUGCAGAGAUCCAAACCCCAGACUUCCAACCACUUAACACUCCACUAACCUCCAGACCAGCAAGCCCAUUCUAAC